AGCGAACGCUGGCGGCAGGCCUAAUACAUGCAAGUCGAACGGUCUCUUCGGAGGCAGUGGCGGACGGGUGAGUAACGCGUGGGAACGUGCCCUUUGGUACGGAACAACUGAGGGAAACUUCAGCUAAUACCGUAUGUGCCCCUUCGGGGAAAGAUUUAUCGCCAUUGGAGCGGCCCGCGUUGGAUUAGCUAGUUGGUGGGGUAAUGGCCCACCAAGGCGACGAUCCAUAGCUGGUCUGAGAGGAUGAUCAGCCACACUGGGACUGAGACACGGCCCAGACUCCUACGGGAGGCAGCAGUAGGGAAUCUUGCGCAAUGGGCGAAAGCCUGACGCAGCCAUGCCGCGUGAAUGAUGAAGGUCUUAGGGAUUGUAAAGUUCUUUUGCCCGUGACGAUGAUGACGGUAACGGGAGAAUAAGCUCCGGCUAACUUCGUGCCAGCAGCCGCGGUAAU
This 451-nucleotide ribosomal RNA is filed under the name uncultured bacterium. Its description in RNAcentral is "bacterial SSU rRNA". It matches the Rfam family "Bacterial small subunit ribosomal RNA", at positions 29 to 524 of the family's 1533-position model. The record is from RNAcentral.